ACACGGGGGGCGCAAGCGUUAUUCGGAAUUAUUGGGCGUAAAGGGCGCGUAGGCGGUCUUGUCGGUCAGAUGUGAAAGCCCAGGGCUCAACCCUGGACGUGCAUUUGAAACAGCAAGACUUGAGUACGGGAGAGGAAAGCGGAAUUCCUGGUGUAGAGGUGAAAUUCGUAGAUAUCAGGAGGAACACCGAUGGCGAAGGCAGCUUUCUGGACCGAUACUGACGCUGAGGCGCGAAGGCGUGGGUAGCGAACAGGAUUAGAAACCCUAGUAGUCC
This 274-nucleotide ribosomal RNA is filed under the name uncultured bacterium. RNAcentral describes it as "partial 16S ribosomal RNA". It matches the Rfam family "Bacterial small subunit ribosomal RNA", at positions 523 to 796 of the family's 1533-position model. The record is from RNAcentral.